GAGUUUGAUCAUGGCUCAGGAUGAACGCUGGCGGCGUGCCUAAUACAUGCAAGUCGAGCGAACGGACGAGAAGCUUGCUUCUCUGAUGUUAGCGGCGGACGGGUGAGUAACACGUGGAUAACCUACCUAUAAGACUGGGAUAACUUCGGGAAACCGGAGCUAAUACCGGAUGAUAUUUUGAACCGCAUGGUUCAAAAGUGAAAGACGGUCUUGCUGUCACUUAUAGAUGGAUCCGCGCUGCAUUAGCUAGUUGGUAAGGUAACGGCUUACCAAGGCAACGAUGCAUAGCCGACCUGAGAGGGUGAUCGGCCACACUGGAACUGAGACACGGUCCAGACUCCUACGGGAGGCAGCAGUAGGGAAUCUUCCGCAAUGGGCGAAAGCCUGACGGAGCAACGCCGCGUGAGUGAUGAAGGU
Molecule: ribosomal RNA, 417 nt
Filed under: uncultured microorganism
Description: bacterial SSU rRNA
Rfam family: Bacterial small subunit ribosomal RNA
Source: RNAcentral